UAUUAUUGCUAAUAAAAAUUGAACUUUUUUGGCUAUUAUCAGUUGUUUGAAUUAGAAAAUUUGAUAUUUUAACAUCCAAUUUGCUUGAAAUAAUAGUUUGUGAUCAUGGGUAAUUUCACUGUAAAUCAAAAUUUGACAAUAUUCCAACUUCUAACUCUUAAAGGACUUGCUUGUUCCUACAACUUCAAUGUCGGGGUUAGCAUAAUGGAUUAGUUUUUGGUUUUGGCCGGAAGGGACUAAUUUAAUUAUAGUUCUCUUGGAGAAGAGGUGUAAGUAUGAG
RNAcentral lists this long non-coding RNA (280 nucleotides) under Panax ginseng (ginseng). RNAcentral describes it as "long non-coding RNA (PGIN_LNC015627)". Lineage: Eukaryota; Viridiplantae; Streptophyta; Magnoliopsida; Apiales; Araliaceae. The record is from RNAcentral.